GCCCACCAGCUAGCCCCCACCCCAGAACUAAAUAUUCCAUAUAUAUACUUCCCCCCCACCCCGCAAUUAAACAAACCAUUCUUCCUCCCCAGUACGGGCGACAGAAAAG
This 109-nucleotide ribosomal RNA is filed under the name Saurida macrolepis. RNAcentral's name for it is "partial 16S ribosomal RNA". Lineage: Eukaryota; Metazoa; Chordata; Actinopteri; Aulopiformes; Synodontidae. The record is from RNAcentral.